Long non-coding RNA from Lutra lutra (Eurasian river otter), 954 nucleotides. RefSeq lists it as uncharacterized. The record is from RefSeq and is a predicted model, not a curated record. Lineage: Eukaryota; Metazoa; Chordata; Mammalia; Carnivora; Mustelidae. The transcript is spliced from 3 exons.
CACUGGGGUCCGGCCGUGUUUUUUUUGCUGCCGUGUAAGAGGCUGCAUGUUUGGAGGUCAUUAGCAAGGGCAACAGAUUCCUGGCCAUGGCAGGGACAACGUGGUGUGGAGUCAGCAGCAAUAGCAGCUCCCUUCUGGGCCAGUCUGCCAUCCUGGAAACUGGUCCUGAGAACCCGUUGUAGACCUUGUGCUGAAUCCCUUCCAAAGACUCAAGGAGCUCUCUAGUGUCUUGUAAUAAAUUCUAUCCUGCUUUGAACUAUCCCAGGGGAUUCAGUUGUCUGCAGCUAAGAAACCUGACUGAUACAAGACCCUUCCAGAACGCACACACCAUUGUGCUCACGAGUAAAAGACAACCUUCCCUUCCCUGGCCCUGCUGGCCGCUGGAGGCUGCCAGGAGUCUGCGGGGGACGAGGCAGCAGCCCAGCCGUCCUCCUUCUUUCCCUGCCUCUGUAACCACGUGACUACGGACUGCAAGCAAACUGCGGCACAGAUCUCCAAACAGACAUCACUUUCUGAGAAGACACUUCCAUGAAGCUCCAUUCAGAGAACCAUUCUGUUACCGGAGGCAUCCUGACCGCCACGAGGGCACAGAGAGCCAAAGGGAGCAACACACAAGGAACAGUUAAGAGAUCUGGAGGACGGAUGGAGGGGCUUCCGCAUUUACCUAAGAGACGUUCCAGAGGAAGAACAGGAGGAAACAACAGUGGAGAAGCGAUAGGUAAUGGGACAACCACUGAGAAUUUUCGAGAGCUAAAGACAGACUGUGAUUUGAGAUCGCAAGUCAAAAAUGCACUCCAAGAAGAGACAACAUAAAUUAAGAUAAAUCUGUAUGUGGCUCUAUGUUAAUUAAACCACAGAAUAUGGGGGCACCUGGGUGGCUCAGUCGAUGAAGCGUCUACCUUCAGCUCAGGUCACAAUCUCAGGGUCCUGGGAUUGAGCCCUGCAUCGGGAUCU